This 486-nucleotide ribosomal RNA is filed under the name Streptococcus mitis. RNAcentral describes it as "bacterial SSU rRNA". It matches the Rfam family "Bacterial small subunit ribosomal RNA", at positions 28 to 499 of the family's 1533-position model. Lineage: Bacteria; Bacillati; Bacillota; Bacilli; Lactobacillales; Streptococcaceae. The record is from RNAcentral.
GACGAACGCUGGCGGCGUGCCUAAUACAUGCAAGUAGAACGCUGAAGGAGGAGCUUGCUUCUCCGGAUGAGUUGCGAACGGGUGAGUAACGCGUAGGUAACCUGCCUGGUAGCGGGGGAUAACUAUUGGAAACGAUAGCUAAUACCGCAUAAUAGUAGAUGUUGCAUGACAUUUGCUUAAAAGGUGCAAUUGCAUCACUACCAGAUGGACCUGCGUUGUAUUAGCUAGUUGGUGAGGUAACGGCUCACCAAGGCAACGAUACAUAGCCGACCUGAGAGGGUGAUCGGCCACACUGGGACUGAGACACGGCCCAGACUCCUACGGGAGGCAGCAGUAGGGAAUCUUCGGCAAUGGACGGAAGUCUGACCGAGCAACGCCGCGUGAGUGAAGAAGGUUUUCGGAUCGUAAAGCUCUGUUGUAAGAGAAGAACGAGUGUGAGAGUGGAAAGUUCACACUGUGACGGUAUCUUACCAGAAAGGACGGCUA